UACAGAGGUCUCAAGCGUUGUUCGGAUUCAUUGGGCGUAAAGGGUGCGUAGGCGGCGCGGUAAGUCGGGUGUGAAAUCUUGGAGCUUAACUCCGAAACUGCAUUCGAUACUGCCGUGCUUGAGGACUGGAGAGGAGACUGGAAUUUACGGUGUAGCAGUGAAAUGCGUAGAGAUCGUAAGGAAGACCAGUGGCGAAGGCGAGUCUCUGGACAGUUACUGACACUGAGGCACGAAGGCCAGGGGAGCAAACGGG
Molecule: ribosomal RNA, 253 nt
Filed under: uncultured bacterium
Lineage: Bacteria
Description: partial 16S ribosomal RNA
Rfam family: Bacterial small subunit ribosomal RNA
Source: RNAcentral